Gallus gallus (chicken) is the source of this 1295-nucleotide long non-coding RNA. NCBI's taxonomy places the organism in Eukaryota, Metazoa, Chordata, Aves, Galliformes, Phasianidae. The record is from Ensembl.
CCCUCAUUCAUCAGACUGGUGGCACUGCACACAUUUCGGGCAAUGAGCAGAAGCCCAGGAGCAGUUGAAAUCCUGGGCUUCAACCAAAGGUUAAAUCCCACUCGUGUGCUGGUCCCAUCUCACAUGAAUCAAAAGUAAGCGCAGCACUGCCAGUGAGGGGUGGAAACACAAAACCCCAGGGAUGGCCAUAAAAGGUCACUGUGUCAAGACACUGUUCUUCCAGCACAUGGUUCCAGCUCUGGGACCUAGCACCAAGCCUCCUUGCUCUCACUCAUUUGUCUUAAUUAUUUUUCCAUUGUGAAGUCUGAGUAUAUCUAACUCCUCCUCUCCUCUCCUCUCCUCUCCUCUCCUCUCCUCUCCUCUCCUCUCCUCUCCUCUCCUCUCCUCUCCUCUCCUCUCCUCUCCUCUCCUCUCCUCUCCUCUCCUCUCCUCUCCUCUCUUCUCCUCUCCUCUUCCUUUUUUUUUUCUUUCAGAAUAAAUCCUUAUAGAAUUAAUCCUUAUUUCCCUUUUUGACAUAACAUACCUGUUUCAAAAUGUGCACUGAAUUCAGCUCUCCCCUACUGUUGCAGCCUACUUUGUGCCGUUAUCUUUCUUCUAGUACCAGUCUCGGUUUUGCUCUCUGCUUAGUAAAUCCUCCUAAUUUAUUCUGGUAUUUUAAAGGGAAUUUUCCUCUCAAGUCUCAUUUAUUCUGGCCAUUUUUAGGCUAUCCAUGCUGAUCAUGGAGAACAGCUCCAGUAUUUUGUGUACUACAUAAAUAGUGCUUUCCAUAGAAACUUAUGUCCAAGUGUUUCAAUCCUGGGAGAGCAGUUUUACCUUAGUGCCUGCACUCAUUGUGCCCGUCUCCAAAAAAGAAAGAGAUACCAAAAUGGUUUUUCUUGCAUUAUGCUUUGGCUGCUGCAUUUCACACUGAAAGAUGUAAAACAAAGUUCUGUGCUCCAUACGUGCUCAACGACUUCUUCAAAAGAAGGAGGAAUGUGAGCAUUUGUAUAUAAGAGAGGUUGUGCCAUGGUUUCCUGAACAACACUUGGUCACGACAGCUUGUGCUAGACCUUAGUUCUUGGUCACAUCCUUACCUUGCUGAAAAGCAACAGCAUAAAAUAAGUUUUUAACUCGAGAUGUAUUAUAUCCAUAUAUUUUAAGCAAUAAUUUCCACUAAAGGAAAACAUUUAAUUAAUGAAAGAGGUCUACGAUUUGACAGAUAAUUUUUACUUCUAUUUCCACAUACAGGUGGCAUUACAGUGCAUGGCUUUGUGCUGAUUUUCAUCAAUCCCUUCAUCACAAAAAGACCUCUUCAA